Benincasa hispida (wax gourd) is the source of this 14114-nucleotide non-coding RNA. The record is from RefSeq and is a predicted model, not a curated record. Lineage: Eukaryota; Viridiplantae; Streptophyta; Magnoliopsida; Cucurbitales; Cucurbitaceae.
ACACCCACAUCCUAUCUCAAUGUCUCAAACAAAAAAAAAAAAUAUUUAUCAAGAGCCUUGGAAAGCGUGCGCUGAAACCCUCACAAUUCCCUAUCUUCUUCUUCCUCACGCCCGAAGGACCUUCCCCCUACGCCAGCCAUCUCGCGCAGACGCCGGCCUCCAAUUGCCGCCGUUGUUCGUCUGUCGCCCAUUCGCGCUGUCUCCGACUGAAGCCGUUGCGGUGGGUUGAUUUUUUCCCUUGCAAUUUUUCUUCUUCUCGCGCGAGCCUUAGUCAAACCCUCGCCGCCUAUCAGUUUCUCCCCGUCGCCUUUCAGUCGCUUUACGUCAGCAGUCGCCGACGCCGUUCACGUCGGAUCUGUGUCGUCGUCGUCCAGCAUCGUUUCGAUGGGUAUUGUUCCAGAUUUGUUCACAGCCACCGAACCUAGCCGUGACAGUCUGCUGUCGUCAUGCAUCGCCGCUCACGUCACCGUCGAUGCAGCACCGUCACCGCCACUACUGCCUUUGAUUUUCGCCGGAAUCUUGGAUUUGGGUAAAGAUCGAAUGAUUUUGACUGAAGGGUAGAAAUAUGGUUAGUUGCUGUUUAGCGGUGCAGGAUCAAUUUCGAUAAAGAUUUUGAAUGACUUUGGUUCAGGAUUUUGUUAGAGAUUGUUUUGUCUGGACAACAAUACUAGGGCUCGUAUUCGAGGUUGGAGAAUAGUCGGGAAGUUUCUCGUGGUGGUCUACGAAUCGUUCGUGAGGAGAUGGGAGCUAAUUUGGAGAAGCUUUAGGACUACAAAGGUUGUAUUUCUUCUUCCCCUUUUACUUGUUUUUCUUGCAUGCUUAUCCUUUGUAAUUAACCUAAUUAAAGUACUUUAGAUCCGUUAUUUCUUCCGCUGCGCAUGUGUUCGUUCCAUCAGAAAACAAUUGUGCUUCCACAGACACAUAUUCCACCAUCCUGACCGAUUAUGUUGUAAUGAACAUGGCGUUAGGAGAAUUUGUUACAAUGAUCGUGAUGAAAAAAAGACAUGAUUGCAGAACAUAUAGCCUAACGUGCCCAGUCACAACCACUACCACCCACGCAGGUCCACAGGUUUUGACCAAGAAUUAGAACUUGCAAAACUUGAGAUAUCGAACCAGUAAUGCGGGAGUAGUUCAAGAGCACUUCUACGAAAAAUAUUUCUCUACUAACUUGAGAUAUAACAAGCAUAGGGAAUUUUUAGACUUGAAGCAAGACAACAUGAUCGUAGAGGAGUAUGACAAAAAGUUUGAUUAGUUAUCUUGUUUUGCUCCUAAAAUGUUUGCCAUGGAGGCUGGAAGGGUGGAGAGGUUCUUUCACAGGCUGAAAGAUGGAGUACGAGGCUUGGUGCAAGCCUUUAAACCGACUACUCAUGCUUAGCCAUUCGCUUAGCAAGUCAGAUAGAUGGGGAAUCUCUAAAGUCAUUGGGAGUAGGAUCCUCCUGAGGGCGGAAGAGGAAGGUAGACCAGAGAGGCUCCAAAACCUUUGUAGAAGAGCUAGAAUUGGAUUAACCAUCACGACAUCUUCAACAACGGGCUUCUGAGUCAAAAAUGGGUAGGAGAGAUAAACCAAUUUGUAGUUCUUGUAGGAGACGCCAUUAAGGGCAUUGUUUAGUUGGGUGUUGUUUACAAAGUUAACAAACUCCACUGCCAGCCCUAAUGAUGUGUCCCACAAGAACUAUAAAUUGGUUCAUGUCUCUCAACCAGUCCUGACUCGGAAGCUUGUUGUUGGAAGUGUUGUAGUGGUCUGUCUGAAUUCUAGUUCUUUUAUAGAGGCUCUAGAGCUCUCUAGUCUACCUUCCUCUUUUGACUUGAGGAGGAUCUGACUCCAAACGACUUUAGAUACUCAGCCCAUGAUGGGAAGUCUAUCUAACUUGCUAAGCAAAGGGCUUCGACAUGAGUGGUCGGUUUAAAGGCUUGCCCCAAGCUUCGUCUUCGUAUCUCAUCUUUUCAGCCCGUGAACAAACCUCUUUACCUUUUCAACCUUCAUGGUAACUAUUUUUAGAGCAAAACGGGAUAACUGAUCAAACUUUUGGUCAUACUCCUCUACAGUUAUCUUGCCUUGCUUCAAGUUCAAAAAUUUCUUCUACUCAUUAUAUCUCAAGCAAAGAAAUAUUUUUCGUAUAGAAGUGCUCCUUGAAUUGCUCCUACGUUACUGGUUCGCACCGUAUCUAUAAUCAUCCUCUUUACUGAAUGCCACCAGAUUUGGGCUUUAUCUGUGAGCAUGAAGACGACAUAUUGAACCUUUUGAUCCUUCAAGCAUUUCAUAUAUCAAAAUAUUGUCUCUAUAGAAGACAGCUCAUCCAUAGCUCUGCCUUAGUAGGGUCCUUCAGUGGCCCAUUGAAGGUGUAGGGAUUGUACUUUCUGAAAUCUCAUAGGUGUUUUGUUUUGAGAGACAAGUCUUGUAAGUUUUGAUUCUUGGUCUAAACUUGUGGCGUCUAGAAUUGGGGGUGGUAUUUGUUGUGAUUAGGUAUGUUGGGCAAUCUUUUUUGCCAUCAUGUCUUUUAUUUUUUCCAUCACGGGCAUUGUAACAGAUUCUUCUAUCGCCGCGACCAUUGAAGCAUAAUUGGUCGGGAAGAUUGGUGGAAUCUGUGUCAGGCACUAUUGUAUUUCGGGUCCGUCUUCUCAUUUCAACUCCUUGUCCCCUUGACCCAGAAGGGUCCCUCGAUAGCGGGAUCCUUCGUCGCAAGAGGGUUUCGAACCUGAGGGUCCUAGACUGUUGGAUUUCAUCCCCCUCUAAUCUGUCACAACUGCUCAUUCCUCUAACUUGUGGUGCUAUUUCCUAACAACCACACAUAACUAACUUAUAACAAAUUAUUUGAAACAUGUCAAUUAUGACUAUAAAUUAGACAAAAUCUUGUGCAUAUUAUUCUAGAGACUUUUUCUUGAAGGACAUAUCUGGCGAUGAAGAACAAUUCGUUAAUGUUUAAUAGAACAAAUAUAAAAAAUCAGAGUUCAAACAUCAAGGCUAUGCAUUCAUAUAGUGAGUAUAAAUACUGACUGAUGAAUGGAAGUGUCUGACUAGUGAGUAUAAAUACUCCUUAAUCAUUCGUUGGUUUGUCUUUGUCCUUACUUGAAAACAUAAAAUAAGAAAUAGUGAGUAUAAAUACUCAGUAAGUAACCCAUUACCAGGAUAAGACUGUGCAUUCAUAUCCAAUAAAUAUAAACGUGCUAGGACAUGCACAAAUUAACCAUUCAUAGAUGGUCGUCUAGUGCACCUUCAAAUGGGUCACUGUCACUCUGACAUAUUCAUUCAUAUAAAGAAAACCAUGCUUAAUCAACAUACAUAAAAGAGGCAUUAUCAAUCAAUACAUGGCUCGAAGACAUUCUAGUAGUAAAUUUGUACCUUGAACUUGCGCCCAUAUAAAACUUUGUAAGUAAUCAACCUCUUCCGUCUAACUUCUAGGAAUGCUUGUUGGAAAAAAAUUGAAGUUGUCUAUCUCAAACAACUAAAUGUCUUUAGAAGUUUCUAAGAGGAACUUCUUCACUACAAAAAGGAAAGCGAGACACCUAAAAAAAAUAUGUGGAAGUAAUAAGGAACUUUUCUCUCUAAUUGACCUUUGUUUGGAAUGAAGUAAAUGGUUUGGAAUGGAGUGGAUGAUUGUAUUUAUAGAGGAAAAGUAAUCCUAAUCGUAAAUUAUUUGGAAUUCCAUAACUGUAGUAGAUAGAUUAAAUUUACUUUAUUUAAUAUGACACUUUAUCUAUUGGGAAAUUAUAUUUCUUUUUUAAAUAAGUUACUUCCUAUAAUUAGGAAAAAUAGUAGAUAGAUUGGAUUUACUUUUUGAAUAUGAACUAAUCUAAUUAGGAUUACACAUUUUAAUUAAUUAAAAAAAUCCAUAGUCUAUUUAAAUUAAGUAUCUAUAUUUGAAUUAGAAAAUUCAUAAUCUAAUUAAAUUAGGCAUCCAUAUUCUAGUUAAAUUAAAAAUCCAAAAUAAACCCAUCUCCAUUUGAUUUGAUUUGAUUUUUUAUUUUUGGGGAUAAGAAACAAUUUCAUUGAUUAAAUGAAAUCCAUGGAUAUCCAUUGGUACAUGAGGACCCCAAUCAUAGGGUGUACAAAAAGACCCUUUCAAAGGGAGUGCAAAAGGUGUUUCCAAUUUUCAACAAGGAAAGAAAAAUUGUGAUUUUGUAUAGCCUGUAAAUCUUUGCACAAAAAAGGCAGUGUAUGAUGGUAUCAAUAAUGUUCUUUGUUGUCUUAGCCUUGUCUUGGAAGAUUCUAGCAUUUCUUUCAUCCCAAAUCUUCCACAAUACAGCACAAAUGAUGCUUAACCAGAGACAUUCUUUAUCAUUUUUGAAAGGUAUCUAGCCGAUUAGUAGGUGAAGCCAACUUUGCAAAUUAUUUGGAAGGACCACAGACCAGUUAAAAGCAGAAAAGACUUCCAUUCAUAUCCCUCUGGAGAAAGGGCAGUCAAAGAAAACAUGUUGGGCAUCUUUGUUGUUCAUUUGACAAAGGCAACACCAUGAGGGAGAGGUGGAUCCAAGGGUAUCGUUUUUGUAAUCCGUCCAUGGUGUUUAAGACAAAAGUUAGUGAUUUCCCAUAGGAGGAAUUUAACACUCUUUGGGUAGGGACAACUCCACAAUUUCGUGAAAAGGCCGGUUGAAGGUGAGAGUGGGUUGGAUAUGAAGGAAGAGUAUAAAGACUUUGUACUGAAAUCAAUGUGGCUAAGCUUCCAUAUCCAUUAGUCCUUUCUAUAAGUAAGGUUUAGACUUGGAAUAAGAUGAGUAAGAGCAGUCCAUUCUUCAAUCUCAUCUUCUUUAAGAUUUCUUCUAAAGUUUAAGGACCAAGAACAAUUUGUAGCAUUCAAAGCCUCCUUAAUAGAAAUAUUUUUUUGUGGUAGGUAGCCGAUAGAGCCUAGGAAAGGUUUGUUUUAGGGCAGAACCAGCAAGCUAAUAGACUGUCCAAAACGCUGUAGAGGAACCAUCACCAAUCUGACACUGUAUAUUCCCAUAGAUAAGGUCCAUUUGAUGCAGAAUGUGUUUCCAAGGGCUUCUGGUUGAUAAGCUUUUGUAUUCGACAGCCUUGAGAUCAAAAUGGUGUGAUCCAUAUUUAGCUUCGAUUAAGAUCCUCCAAAGGGCGUCUUUCUCCAAAUGAAAAUGCCAAAUCCAUUUGGCAAGGUGGGCUUUGUUUUGUUGUUUAGUAUCAGUGAUCCCGAAUCCUCCUUCAGCCAAAGGUUUCUUCAAUUUGUCCUAUUUUAAUAAAUGAGAUAGUUUGCUAUCCCUGUGACCCGACCAAAGAAAGUUUCUUAAACAUCUGUCAAUGACAUCAAUAAUUUUCCCAGGGCAUGGUAGAGGGAUAAAUAGUGGACAGGUAGAUUAGAUAAGGUUGCUUUCAGAAGGGUUAGUCUUCCUCCUUUUGAAAGGAAGUUGUGUUGCCAAGAGUGAAGUCUCUUGUCAAUUUUGUCUAAAAUUGGUUGGCAAAAGGUAACUGAUGUGAAUUCAUCCAUUGAACCAUUGCAUGUACCUAAAGGACCAAUUACAAGAAGCAAGGCAAAAAAGAUUCAAGAGGCAUUCACAUUACAUCUUCAAAAACUAGCAAAUUCACAUGAACCAACAAACAAGGUGAUCCAUUAUCACCCUUCUUGUUCAUUAUCAUAAUGGAUAGUCUUAGCAGAAUCCUCACAAUGGCGAAUACAAAAGGUUUUAUUAGCGGAUACUCAAUUCCAAGCUCACAUCACAACAACAUCAAUCAGCUCCUUUUUACUGAUGAUGCUCUACUUUUCUUCAUUAGCAAUGAGAGGAUGAUCAAAAACCUCUUCAAUUUAAUUACUCUUUUUGAAUUUGCUUCUGGUCUCAACAUCAAUAGACAUAAAUCAUAAUUCGUGGGUAUUAAUUGCGAGGAUGAUUGGGUGGUAUCUAUUGCCAAUAGAUUUGAUUGUAAGGUUGAGAUAUGACCUACCACAUAUUUAGGUUUGCCCAUUUAUGGAAAACCAACAGCAGUUACUGAUGUGAAUUCAAUCAUUGAACCAUUGAAUGUACCUAAAGGAUCAAUUACAAGAAGCAAGGCAAAGAAGAUUCAAAGGCAUUCACACUACAUCUUCAAAAACUAGCAAAUUCACAAGAACCGACAAAUAAUUUUGAGACCAAAGUUUUAUAUAAUGUUAGUUCAAUGAGUCAAGAAGAGAAUGACAUGAAGAUGGCACGGGAAAAGUCCUAUAGUUUGGAAGAUGACUCGGUGGUCAAAAAAAGUGUGCAGAUUUUUUGAAGAAAAUGUUGUCAAGUGUGCACUGCAUGGGAAAAUGUGAUGUCAAACCUUGUCAAACAUGCAUAUCUACUUUGCCACCUUCUAGAGGAGAUAUUUAAGGCAAAUUGAAGACUUUCUACAUUCCUAGUUUUGAAUUUUGACUUAUAAUUUAGUGUGCAAUUAAGUUUUAAGUUUCUAGGAGUUAUUUUCUACAAUUUGCAAUUAAUUGUAUUUGAAUGACUUUUGAGUUUCUUGGUCUAUCCACGACCAUUUGGCCUAUAAAUUGGCUUGUAUUGUUCUUAAAAAACUCAGAUUAUCGAUAGUAAAAAGCUUGUGCUUAUUCAACCCUUUGAUGUUGUCUUUUUCUUUCAAAUCUUGCUUUAGAUUUGAUAUUAAAUCAAUUCAUUGGAUUAGUCUUGAUCAAGAUAAUUCUGGAGUGAGUUGUCUUAGGAUCUAAGAGUGGCCAUCAUAGGUUCUAGGUUCGAUCUAAGUAGCUUUCUUUGUGAGUGUUUGUAAGGAUCCUAGAAGGACCUCUAGCUUUGCAUCCAACAAGCAUCGCGGGCGCUUAUCAUUUGGUAUCAGAGCAUUUGUUCACCAUUCUUGGCCGACUUUAGAGGUGUUGUCUUUACUUUAUUUCAAUUUUUUUUCUCCAUAACAAUUGUUUACAUCUUGUAACAAGACAUACUACAACUUGUCUUGAAAACUUUUUCAAAUCAGCUCUUGGAUCAUAAAGGAAAAAUAAAGUCAGCAAGGACAAAAGAAGUCAACAAAAAAAAAGAAAAAAGUUACUCUAGUCUUAGCUUGUGAGAGUUGAUCAUUUUGGAUGGGUUUUUAUCAAACUUUUAGGAAUGACAAGAAACUUUCAUGUGCUUUUGGAUCUUUGAUUUUUUUUUUUUGCUCACUUUUUUUUUUUUCUUUAUGAUCCAAGAGCUGAUUCGAAAAAGUUUUCAAGACUAGUUGUAGUACCUCUUGUUACAAGAGGUAAGCAAUUGCUAUGGAGAAAAAAAAUUGAAAUAAAAUAAAUUGAAAUAAAGUAAAGAUAACACCUCUAAAGUCGGCCAAGAACGAUGAACAAAUGCUUGAUACCAAAUGAUAAGCGCCCGCGAUGCUUGUUGGAUGCAAAGCUAGAGGUCUUUUUAGAAUCUUUGCAAACACUCACAAAGAAAGCUACUUAGAUCGAACUUAGAAUCUAUGAUGGUCACUCUUAGAUCCUAAGACAACUCACUUCAGAAUUAGCUUGAUCAAGACUAAUCCAAUGAAUUGAUUUAAUAUCAAAUCUAAAGCAAGAUUUGAAAGAAAAAGACACCACCAAAGGGUUGAAUGAGCACAAGCUUUUUACUAUAGAUAAUCUGAGUUUCUUAAGAACAUUACAAGCCAUUUUAUAGGCCAAAUGGUCGUGGAUAGACCAAGAAACUCAAAAGUCAUUCAAAUACAAUUAAUUGCAAAUUGUAGAAAAUAACACCUAGAAACUUGAAACUUAAUUGCACACAAAUUGUAGAAAAUAACACCUAGAAACUUGAAACUUAAUUGCACACUAAGUCAAAAUUCAAAACUAGGAAUGUAGAAAGUCUUCAAUUUGCCUUAAAUAUCUCCUCUAGAAGGUGGCAAAGUAGAUAUGCACAUUUGACAAGGCUUGACAUCACAGUUCCCUAUGCAAUCCACACUUGACAACAUUUUCUUCAAAAAAAUUUGCACACCUUUUUUUUUUAUCAUUGUCAUUUUCCAAACUAUAGGACUUUUCCCGUGCCAUCUUCAUGCCAUUCUCUUCUUGACUCAUUGAACUAACAUUAUAUAAAACUUUGGUCUCAAAAUUAUUUGUCGGUUCUUGUGAAUUUGCUAGUUUUUGAAGAUGUAGUGUGAAUGCCUCUUGAAUCUUCUUUGCCUAGCUUCUUGUAAUUGGUUCUUUAGGUACAUGCAAUGGUUGAAUUCACAUCAGUAACUGCUGCUGGUUUUCCAUAAAGGGGUAGACCUAAAUAUGUGGUAGGCCAUAUCCCAACCUUACAAUCAAAUCUAUUGGCAAUAGAUACCACCCAAUCAUCCUUGCAAUUAAUAUCCAUGAAUUCUGAUUUUUGUCUAUUGAUGUUGAGACUAAAUUGAAGAGGUUUUCGAUCAUCCUCUCAUUGCUAAUGGAGAAAAGUAGAGUGUCAUCAGCAAAAAGAAGUUGAUUGAUGUUGUUGUGAUGUGAGCUUGGGAUUGAGUAUUCGCUAAUAAAGCAUUUUGUAUUUGUCAUUAUGAGGAUUCUGCUAAGACUAUCCAUUAUGAUAAUGAACAAGAAGGGUGAUAAUGGAUCACCUUGUUUAAGGCCCCUAGUUGCUUUAAAUUUCCCCCUAGGUUUGCCAUUUAUAAUGAUGGAGAAAUUUGUGGUAAAUAUGCAGUCUUUGAUGGUCUCCAUCUUGUGCCAAAACCCUUUGCCAUUAACAAUUCAUCAAGGAAAUCCUGAUCCGCCUUGUUGAAAGCUUUCUCGAUGUCGAGCUUGAUGGCCACCCCUUUAAUUUUCUUCGCAUGCCAAUCUUCGAUGAUUUUGUUAGCAAUCAGUGAGGCAUCCAGUAUUUGUCUACCUUCCACAAAGGCUGAUUGAUGGACUGUGAUGGUAGAUGGAAGGUUUUUUUAGGUGGUUUGAUAGAACCCGAGCAAUAAUCUUGUAAAGGCCUGGCUGAUAGGUUGAUAAUCUCCCACCUUCGCGGCAUCAAUUUUUUUUUUGGGGGAUAAGGCAAAUAAAAGUUUAGUUCACGUUGGCAUUGGUGAUUCCAUUCUCAAAAAAAUCUUGGAACACUCUAAUUAAAUAAGUUUUUAGAGUGUUCCAUGAUUUUUUAAAAAAUUCUGAUGUGAAACCAUCGGGCCCUGGAGUUUUGUUAGUGCCUAGAGCCUUGAUUACUGUCCAGAUCUCAAGUUCGGUAAAAGGGGCCUCCGAAAAACUUGCUUGUUCUUGGCUGAUAGGAUCCCAUUCGAGAGGAUAGGAAUAACUCGAUUACCUGGUUUUCUGGUGAAGAGAUUUAUGUAAAAAGAGAUGAAAGCCUCUAUAUCGGUGUCUUUACCAAACUUAUGUUCUGGCCAUUGAGAAUUUCUGUAAUACAGUUCCUCUUUUUUGCACCAGCAAAUUUGUGAUAAAAGGAUGUGUUUUCAUCACCAUUGAUCAGCCAAUUUGUUUUGCACUUUUGCCUCCAAUUUAAUUCCUCAUUUGCGUUUAGGGAAAGGAGCUGAUUUCUAAUCAAAUGUCUUCUAUUGUCAAGAUCACAAGUUAUGGGACCAUUUUCAGAUUCUUGAUCAAUGGAGGCUAAUUCCUUUUGUAGAGAAGCUCUCUGUGUUUCAAUGAUGCCAAAAGUGGAUAAAUUCCAUGCUUUGAUAGCCAACUUCAGGCUCUUUAACUUUUGGUUAAAGCCAUGGCCGGGAUGCCCAAUUAGUGGGUGGUUGUUCUACCAUGAAUCAACAAAAGGGAGGAAGUCUUUGUGGUUUAACCACACAUUUUCAAAUCUGAAAGGUGCAGGACCCCAAUUUUGGUUGCCAAGGAUUAAAAGAAGGGAAAAAUCGUCUGAUGUUGGCCUGUCCAAUCUUUUCAUGGAUGCAUCCUUGAAUUUUGAUAUAAUAAAAGCAUAACAAAGGAAACGAUCGAUUCUUGUAUGUGUGGGAUGCAUGCGUAAAUCAGACCAGGUAUAUUUCCCAUUUGUGAGGUGGAUAUCAAUGAGUUCCCGCUGGUCAAUAAAGGAAUUGAAGGCCAACAUUAGGUCUGCAGCCAUUGGAGUUUUCUUGCGGCCAACGAAUGAGGUUGAAAUCUCCCCCAAUGAUCUAGUUUUCAUCCACAAGGCAAAAGAGAUCAUGGAGCUCAGUUAUAAAAUGUUCUUUUCAGGAUCAUAAGGUGGGCAGUAGACACCUGUUAACCAGAAGUUGUAAUCAUCAGCAAGAUUGAAAAGGACAGUGAAGGAGUAUGCACCUUUUGUAAUCUGCAAUGGAGUAUACCAUGGGGCAUUCCACAUGAUAAUAAUGCCUCCGGAAGAGCCAUUUGCAUCCAUAGAUGUCCAUUCGAUCCCUCUAGAGCUCCAAAGAGAUUUAAUAAAAACAAGGUCGAUAUUGUGGCUUUUGGUUUCUUGGAGAAUAACAAUUGUUGGGUUGUGAUUGUUGAUUAGUCUUUUGAUGGUGGCUCUUUUCUUCCAUGAUCCGAGACCUCUUAACAUUCAAAGAGAGAAUUAACAUUAAGAUGAUUGUGAGCCCUCCCUGUUCAAGGCCUUUGCCUUCUUUUCAUAGGAAAUGGAGCAUUCCAAAUUCUUGACUUCACGUAGGCCCCUCCUUUGUUUUUCUGUAAGUUUGUUUCUAUUCUUCUUGUAGGUAUGGACCGAAUACAGAGGCCACAUUCUUCAAGCUAGGGAGUUAGGGCAGCAAGGUGUGAUAUAGGAUUCAUGGGCUCUGAGUUAUAGUAGGGUGGAGGGGAAGAGAGAAAGUCUGGCCAAUGCGAGUCUGUGUGGCUGGGGGAUCCCGAGAACUCUGAAGAGGGCUAGCGAGGUAGCAGUCAGAGUCGAUGUCGGAUGAAUGUGGGAUGAUAGCGUUGGAAUAUUUGUUACCAGCAAUAAAAGUAGACUGCUUAUGGUCGAUGGUAGGUAACAUUUUUGGUUCUAUGUGGGAUUUUGGAUGGGGAUGGAAGAACGAGGUUUGGUUGGGAGGAGGAUGAGGGUGGGAACUGUUGAAUGAUUUCCCACAAAGGGGAUUGUUGCUGAAGAGCAAUUAGAAUCCCUUUGGUAGGUGUUAUUGACCAAUGGUUGUUUAAGCAGAUGGUUCUGUAAGUAAAGUCAAGUGGCAGGGCUGGAAUUUGGCUGACAACUGCCGGUUGUGGUCUGAUCCCAAAGGUGUGGGGGCUGAGGCCAAGGGUUGAUUUGUGGGGCCCGAGAUAGAGUUAGGAGGUGGUGGGGCCAGGGAUGGGUUCAGAAGAGGUGAUGGCGAAGGACAGGUGGGCCCCAAAUGGUUUACCAAAAGGGGGUGAGAGGGGAUUGUUGUUUAAGGGCAAUUGGGUUUCCUUUGGUAGGUAUUGUUGACCAAUGGUUUUCUAAGCAGAUGGUUUUGCUUGGAAGCAAUGUUAGGUGGCAGGGCUGGAUUAUUGCUGACAGUUACAGGCUGUUUUGAUAUGUCAACAUUACUUUUGAGUCUCUACUGCAGGUUCAGUAAGUUCUGUCCCAACAGAGUACUUUUGCUGUGUAGGGUCAACAUCAACGGGGGAAUUUGAAAAUUAUCAAUCUUUGCACCCAUUUUUGCCGGUAGUUUGGCCGGAGUGCCAUGGAUUCCGGCGAUAACCCCUAUAUGGUAAUCUACAAUAAAAAACGGGUCAAUCGCAACUGCUAUGGCCGAUGAGGACAUUGAGGGAAGCAAAAUCUUUGCCGGGAGGAAACCAGAGUGGUUUCUCGACUUUGAGACUGAUCUCCAUCAAAUCCAUUCUGUUGAGGGUCUUUUUUGCUACUUCCAUUAGUCUUCCACAGGCUUCCCCAAUGUAUUGGAAAGUUUCUAAGGUCCGUUUGUCAAAAGGGAGUCCUCUCACUUUUAUCCAUCCUCCAUAAGAGGGGACAACUUGUUCUUCGUGAAAAACAUUUUGGCUCUAGAGGGAGAAAAGGACUUCGUAAGAACCAAUCUUUUGCCGACCAUUGUAUUUUCCAAGGAUUUUUGCUUGUUCCAUAUCUUUGUAUCUCAGGAUGGCCUUGUUGGGUUGAAAUGGUAAAAGAGAUCCAUAGGCAGUGAUUUCCGCUUGUAUGGCCUUUAGUAUUUUGAACCAAUCGUCAUGGAAGUUUUUCCUUCUGAUAACCACAAUAUUGUAGGUGAAGAUAGGUGUCAGGAUCAGUGAGGAUUGGGUUGGUAGAGAAGAGAGAAUGGUGGUAGUUGGUUGGUUAAUCAAUGUUUCUGGCCUCUUUAGUUUCUUCUCUUUGUUGUCUUCAUUCUCUUGCAUCUCUUGCUUCUUUUUGUUGUUCACAUCAGCCAUAUUAAAGAGGGUUCCUUUUAGGUGGGUCGUUGGCCAACAUUAUUUGUUGGUGGUGACUCUACCUAUAAAAGGUGGUGAGGUCUGUGAAGAGUUCCCAGCCUUUGCGUGGUUCACCCGAAGGAAUAAUAAUUCGAUUUCUCCCACCAUUGUAGUCCAGUUUCACCAGUUCAAUGGAGAAGCCUUUCUUGCUCGUGAUUUUUUCUAUCUAGAUGACUUGAUCAUCAACUUGGAUUUUUUCUAUCUAGAUGACUUGAUCAUCAACUCGUGAUUUAUAUUCCUCUUUCCCCUUUUCUUCUCCUCGCAUUUCCCCAUUCCUCUAUUUUCCCUAAUCUCCUCCAUCUCUUACCUCUUCUCUACCUGAUGCUUCCUCUCCUAACUUGAAGAAUGAUUCUUCCUCUCUCAAUUAUACUUAUAUUUUCCCUCUUUUUCAUGUGUUUAUGGACUCCUUCCCAGGCCAUGGAACCCAUAAUUGCACCACCGCCGAUAAUUUUGUAUUCGGCACCAGCCUCCCGAGCCUUGUCGUCGUCACUCGGGUGGCAUUCCCUCUGCUUGCAUCGUCGUUUAUAGGAUCUGCUGGUCUGAUGGUUGUUUUGACACCAACAUUCUUGCAACUUUCGACUAAUACCCUCGCAAGAUAUGGGUUCACUUCUUUCUCCUCCUGCAAAUGUCUUUUCUGUUUGUGAUGUUUGUGGGUUCACGUCGACGGAUCUGUAGCAUAAUGAAAUACAUAAUACUUGUUUCUUUAGUGAGUUUUGCAGCUCAAUCUAGGAGAUUCUGUUAUGGAUAUUAGACAGUUCCUUCUUAAUGCUCUUGAGAAUUGCUAUUUCACAUGUUAUGAUGGUUCCACUCACCAACUAGAAGAUUAUAAUGAAAUUUCAGAAGUAGCUGAUAUUAUGAUUGAUUGUUGCUCGUUAGAGAUGGUACUUGGUAUGAGAACUUUUAUUUUAUUUUUAAGUGAUUGGCGAUAUAUUUUUGGCAUUCAUGUAUUUACAGUAUUAUAUGGUGAUAGAUCGAUAAAGGCCCAUGUUAACGUUGUACCAGAGACAUGCUUUCCCUUUCCACUCUUCUUAUUUCACUGCCCACAUCUUGCAUUACGGUAUGAACUGUCUUAAAAAAAAGCAUCAACUACUGGAGGUUUUGAUGUUCUGAGUUUGUUUCCUUUAUUGGCUUGUUACAUUUUAAACAUUUUAUUUUGUUUGGGAAAUUUCAUUUUAAGAAGGCUUUUUGGUCUGAGGUGAAUAUCAAACCAAUUAUAGGUACUCUUCCUUUAUUUCUUCACAUAAUUUCAAAAUUGGUCCUUUGAUUCAAAGUUGGAAGCUAGAUUUUUUUUUAUUCAAACGAUCUAGCUUGCUAGCAUUUAAAUAACAUCAUUACGAAUAUGGAUCAUCUGAGGUGUGCAUUUAAAUGGUUUCUUCUGUGCAAGUGCUUCCAACUAUAUCAUGUCUCUUCUGUGCAAGUGCUUCCAACUAUAUCAUGUCUCUUCUGUGCAAGUGCUUCCAAUCUUGCUUCCCUGCCAUUGAAUUUCUUAACGUUUGUAUUUAUACUAAAGUAAUGAUAUUCAUUUGAAAUAUAAAUGUAUGAGUAUUUGAAUAAUAUAUGUUCAAUGUAUCGCUUGAUGUUUUUUGAGCAGGAGGAAGAAACCACUCAACUGAGAAAUUUUGCACAAAGUAUCAAAGAACCGUCUUUUGAAACUUAUUGUUGAAGUAGAGUUAUGAAUCAUGGUUGAUCGAGUUGUUGUAGCUUUUGGUUAAGGUAUAUGGUUUUACUACUGCUGGUUACGUGUGAAGAAUUGAUGAAAAAAAUCUUUGUUACACACUGAUUUGAAAAAAACCAAUAUAUAUAUAAUUAGAAUUGGCUCAAGUGUUUCUCUGCAAAGGAAAAAAAUUUACCCGAGUGGGAUAAGAGAUGCUACAUAAGGGAAAUGCAUUUACGAUUAAAUACAAGGGAAUAAAUUUUCUCUCCAUCAGCAAUGAGGAGGAGAAUUAGGAA